UACGGAGGAUGCAAGCGUUAUCCGGAAUGAUUGGGCGUAAAGCGUCCGCAGGUGGCCAUGUAAGUCUGCUGUCAAAGCGUCUGGCUCAACCAGAUAAAGGCAGUGGAAACUACAUAGCUAGAGUAAGGUAGGGGUAGAGGGAAUUCCUGGUGUAGCGGUGAAAUGCGUAGAGAUCAGCAGGAACACCCGUGGCGAAGGCGGCCCCCUGGGCCGUACCUGACGCUGAGGCGCGAAGGCUAGGGGAGCGAACGGG
This 253-nucleotide ribosomal RNA is filed under the name uncultured bacterium. Its description in RNAcentral is "partial 16S ribosomal RNA". It matches the Rfam family "Bacterial small subunit ribosomal RNA", at positions 524 to 776 of the family's 1533-position model. The record is from RNAcentral.